This 497-nucleotide ribosomal RNA is filed under the name uncultured bacterium. RNAcentral's name for it is "partial 16S ribosomal RNA". It matches the Rfam family "Bacterial small subunit ribosomal RNA", at positions 28 to 507 of the family's 1533-position model. The record is from RNAcentral.
GACGAACGCUGGCGGCGUGCCUAAUACAUGCAAGUUGAGCGCUGAAGGUUGGUACUUGUACCGACUGGAUGAGCAGCGAACGGGUGAGUAACGCGUGGGGAAUCUGCCUUUGAGCGGGGGACAACAUUUGGAAACGAAUGCUAAUACCGCAUAAAAACUUUAAACACAAGUUUUAAGUUUGAAAGAUGCAAUUGCAUCACUCAAAGAUGAUCCCGCGUUGUAUUAGCUAGUUGGUGAGGUAAAGGCUCACCAAGGCGAGGAUACAUAGCCGACCUGAGAGGGUGAGCAGCCACAUUGGGACGGGGACACGGCCCAAACUCCUACGGGAGGCAGCAGUAGGGAAUCUACGGCAAUGGACGAAAGUCUGACCGAGAAACGCCGCGUGAGGGAAGAAGGGUUUCGGAUCGUAAAACUCUGUUGGUAGAGAAGAACGUUGGUGAGAGUGGAAAGCUCAUCAAUUGACGGUAACUACCCAGAAAGGGACGGCUAACUGCGUG